RNA transcript from Papaver somniferum (opium poppy), 3037 nucleotides. It is a transcript of the gene named ABC transporter G family member 7-like, with no coding region annotated. The record is from RefSeq and is a predicted model, not a curated record. The transcript is spliced from 13 exons. NCBI's taxonomy places the organism in Eukaryota, Viridiplantae, Streptophyta, Magnoliopsida, Ranunculales, Papaveraceae.
UCUCAUUUUAAGUAUUAUUCAGCAAACUUAUCUACUCCCUAUUCAGAGAAACGCUGAUAUGGUGGUGUUUGGCGGGAAGAAAGUAGUGAGUGUAGUCCGAGGUAAUGGUAUGGGUCAGGUUUUGGCAGCCAUAGCUGCUGCUCUCCUACUUCGUUUAUUUUCAGGACCUGGACCUUCACUCUUCCCUGAAGAACAAGAUGAUGAUGAUAAUUUUAAUGAUGGAAAAGAAAGGAUAAAUGAAGAAGAAGAAGAGAAAACUCCAAUUCCAGGUGUUCUUUCAGUGAAGCCAAUAACUGUUCAGUGGAGCAACAUUACAUGUUCUCUUGCAGACAGAUCCGGCAAAACUGUGAGAUUCCUUUUGAAAAAUGUGAGUGGAGAGGCAAAACCAGGAAGAUUAUUAGCUAUAAUGGGACCAUCAGGAUCGGGUAAAACUACACUUCUCAAUGUACUUGCUGGACAGCUUGCUAGUGCAUCACGGUUACAUUUAUCUGGCAUUCUUCAGCUCAAUGGACGUCCAUUUUCGAGUAAAAAUUUCAAGUUUGCUUAUGUAAGACAGGAAGACCUUUUCUUCUCUCAGCUGACAGUGAGGGAAACAGUGUCCCUUGCUGCUGAACUCCAGCUCUCUAAUAUCUAUUCUGCGGAGGAGAGAGAUGGAUAUGUCGACGAUCUUCUCUUUAGGCUGGGCUUGGUCAACUGUGCUGAUUCUAAUGUCGGUGAUGCUAAAGUUCGUGGAAUUAGUGGCGGGGAAAAGAAACGUCUAUCACUUGCAUGCGAACUAAUGGCAAGUCCGUCUGUUAUAUUUGCUGACGAACCGACAACUGGGCUUGAUGCAUUCCAGGCAGAGAAGGUAAUGGAGACACUUUCACAACUUGCCAGGGAUGGACAUACUGUAAUUUGCUCCAUACACCAGCCUAGAGGUUCAGUUUAUGUGAAAUUCGACGACAUUUUAUUACUAGCAGAAGGUGCACUCAUUUAUGCAGGGCCAGCACAUGAUGAACCAGUUUCAUACUUCUCAAAGUUUGGAUAUCCGUGUCCAGAUCAUGUGAAUCCGGCAGAAUUUUUGGCUGAUCUCAUAUCUGUCGACUACACUUCCACUGAAAGUGUCUACUUCUCUCGAAAGAGGAUAGAUGGUCUUGUUGAGGCAUUUGUGCGUAACUCAUCAACUAUCAUUUAUAAAACACCACUUCCCAGAACAGAGGUUUGCAAGACCAAUAAGAUUGCUUGCAGGAAGUCCGUUGUAAAGAGGAAAGGCGGUUGGUGGAGACAGUUUCGCUUGCUCCUUAAACGUGCUUGGAUGCAGGCUUCUCGUGAUGGUCCUACCAACAAAGUCCGCGCUAGAAUGUCUGUUGCAUCAGCCAUAAUAUUUGGAUCUGUGUUCUGGCGAAUGGGAAGAUCACAAACAUCUAUACAGGACAGAAUGGGUUUGCUUCAGGUUGCUGCAAUAAACACUGCAAUGGCUGCCCUGACGAAGACUGUGAGUGUGUUUCCUAAGGAACGCGCAAUUGUAGAUAGAGAGCGUGCGAAGGGGUCUUAUGCAUUAGGACCGUACCUACUUUCUAAAUUGCUGGCUGAGAUUCCUAUUGGAGCGGCAUUUCCUUUAAUGUUUGGUGCAGUUCUAUAUCCAAUGGCUCGUCUUCAUCCUAGUGUACCCAGAUUUGGGAAGUUCUGUGGAAUUGUGACAGUGGAGUCAUUUGCUGCAUCUGCAAUGGGUCUUGCUGUUGGAGCAAUGGCUCCAACUCCUGAAGCAGCAUUGGCAUUGGGACCUUCUCUUAUGACGGUAUUUAUUGUAUUUGGAGGCUAUUAUGUCAAUGCUGAAAACACACCUGUGAUAUUCCGCUGGAUUCCUCGGUUUUCUCUUAUAAAAUGGGCCUUUCAAGGUCUUUGCCUAAACGAGUUUAGGGACUUGCAGUUUGAUCACCAUAGUUCCCUUGAUAUUCAAACUGGAGAGCAGGUGCUGGAGAGGUUGUCAUUUGGUGGUGGUCGGAUUAGAGAUACGGUGAUUGAGCAGGGUAGAAUUAUGUUAUUCUGGUAUUGGAUUACUUACCUUCUUCUUCAAAAAAAUAAACCCAAAUAUAUGCAGCUUCAACUACCUCCUACAGUUAGCCAACUCCAAAUCCAAGAGUACGAAAAAGAAGAGACUGCAGAACCUCCUCCUGCUAGUCCAAUUCAAGGGUUCCAGCAGGUUGAUCCUCCUCCAUUAGACCAAAUUGAAUUUAUCCAGCAACCUGAACUACCUCCUGCUAUUGGCCAACUCCAAAUGCAAGAAGAGUACGAAAAAGAAGAGACCACAGAACCUCCUCCUGCUAGUCCAACUCGGGGGUUCCAGCUGGUAGAUCCUCCUCCAUUAGACCGAAUUGACUCUAUCCAGCAACUUGAUUUACCUACUGCUGCUGGCCAACUCCAAAUCCAAGAGUUCGAAAAAGAAGAGACCGCAGAAGCUCUUGCUAGUCCAGUUCAGGUGUCCCAGCAGAAGGCCUCUAAUUUACAUAGGUAGACUUGAAUACUGCUGACUAAUAAUGCAAUGAUGCUGUUGCCGAGGACCAAGAUCGCAAAGUCAUAAAGAACAUAUGUUGUUAGCAUACGCUACGGAUACUGAUGUUGGAAGCAUUCUUCACAAGUUAUGCGGGAUGCAAACAAGAAAGGAAAGGUUCUGAAAUUUUGUUGUGAAUCCUCUGCACGAAAGCACUUAUCCUAAAUGAUACGCAAUACCGAAUUUGAAACUACGAUGAGAUGGAACUGAGCAUCUGAUAUUAUGUCAUUUAGAUGAAACUCGUUUCACUAGUGUUUAAAUGUCUCCUAGGCUGGGAAGCACGGAUGCUUCAGUAAAGGCUAGCGCAAUGUCCCCAUGUCUCUCCUAUGCUGGGAAGUAAAGGCUAGCCAAAUGUCCCCAUGAGAUUAGAUCAAAUCUGACGUUGAUCUCAAAUAUGCUUCCUUCCUCAAAAUCUGUACCGGUACCCUAAGUUUACCACUUUUUGCUAAAACUUUGUCAUGUGCCCCAAAUUUAUGGAGUGAUCAAAAUUUGCCUUGCAGCCCAAAA